RNAcentral lists this ribosomal RNA (386 nucleotides) under uncultured bacterium. Its description in RNAcentral is "bacterial SSU rRNA". It matches the Rfam family "Bacterial small subunit ribosomal RNA", at positions 28 to 415 of the family's 1533-position model. The record is from RNAcentral.
GAUGAACGCUAGCGAUGUGCCUAAUACAUGCAAGUCGAACGAGGAAAUUUAUUUCCUAGUGGCGAACGGGUGAGUAACACGUAUUUAAUUUACCCUUGCGAGGGGGAAUAACUAAUGGAAACGUUAGCUAAUACCCCCAUAUGUGUAAAGACAUAUGUUUUUAUUAUUAAAGGAUCGUUUUGGUUCCGCGCAGGGAUAAGAGUGCGUUGUAUUAGUUAGUUGGUGGGGUAAUGGCCUACCAAGACUAUGAUGCAUAGUCGAUCUGAGAAGAUGACCGGCCACAUUGGGACUGAGAUACGGCCCAGACUUCUACGGAAGGCAGCAGUAAGGAAUAUUCCACAAUGGGCGCAAGCCUGAUGGAGCGACGUCGCGUGAUUGAUGAAGGC